AUCUGGUUGAUUCUGCCAGUAGUCAUAUGCUUGUCUCAAAGAUUAAGCCAUGCAUGUCUAAGUAUAAGCACUUUAUACUGUGAAACUGCGAAUGGCUCAUUAAAUCAGUUAUCGUUUAUUUGAUAGUACCUUACUACAUGGAUACCUGUGGGUAUUCUAGAGCUAAUACAUGCUAAAAACCUCGACUUCGGAAGGGGUGUAUUUAUUAGAUAAAAAACCAAUGCCCUUCGGGGCUCCUUGGUGAUUCAUAAUAACUUAACGAAUCGCAUGGCCUUGCGCCGGCGAUGGUUCAUUCAAAUUUCUGCCCUAUCAACUUUCGAUGGUAGGAUAGUGGCCUACCAUGGUGGCAACGGGUAACGGGGAAUUAGGGUUCGAUUCCGGAGAGGGAGCCUGAGAAACGGCUACCACAUCCAAGGAAGGCAGCAGGCGCGCAAAUUACCCAAUCCCGACACGCGGGAGGUAGUGACAAUAAAUACUGAUACGGGGUCUUUUGGGUCUCGUAAUUGGAAUGAGUACAAUCUAAAUCCCUUAACGAGGAACAAUUGGAGGGCAAGUCUGGUGCCAGCAGCCGCGGUAAUUCCAGCUCCAAUAGCCUUAUAUUAAAGUUGUUGCAGUUAAAAAGCUCGUAGUGAACCUUGGGUCUGGCUGGCCGGUCCGCCUCACCGCGAGUACUGGUCCGGCUGGACCUUUCCUUCUGGGGAACCUCAUGGCCUUCACUGGCUGUGGGGGGAACCAGGACUUUUACUGUGAAAAAAUUAGAGUGUUCAAAGCAGGCCUUUGCUCGAAUACAUUAGCAUGGAAUAAUAGAAUAGGACGUGCGGUUCUCUUUUGUUGGUUUCUAGGACCGCCGUAAUGAUUAAUAGGGAUAGUCGGGGGCGUCAGUAUUCAGCUGUCAGACGUGAAAUUCUUGGAUUUGCUGAAG
RNAcentral lists this ribosomal RNA (922 nucleotides) under Aspergillus flavus. Its description in RNAcentral is "SSU rRNA". It matches the Rfam family "Eukaryotic small subunit ribosomal RNA", at positions 1 to 934 of the family's 1831-position model. Lineage: Eukaryota; Fungi; Ascomycota; Eurotiomycetes; Eurotiales; Aspergillaceae. The record is from RNAcentral.